This is a long non-coding RNA of Hordeum vulgare subsp. vulgare (domesticated barley), 205 nucleotides long. RefSeq lists it as uncharacterized. The transcript has 3 exons. Lineage: Eukaryota; Viridiplantae; Streptophyta; Magnoliopsida; Poales; Poaceae. The record is from RefSeq and is a predicted model, not a curated record.
CGGGGCGGGAAGCAGCAGUACGGCUUCAGGCCAACCGAGCCCGUCGGCGGCGGCGGCGGCAGCAGGGGCGACGCCACAGUCGAUGUGCCCCUCGACAACAUGGGCGACUCGAAUGGCAAGGCGAGGGAGCUCUCGUCGUGGGAAUCAGAUCUGAGGCGGCGUGAGGCGGAUAUCAAAAGGAGGGAGGAAUUGCUCAAGAAUGGCG